RNAcentral lists this ribosomal RNA (408 nucleotides) under uncultured bacterium. Its description in RNAcentral is "partial 16S ribosomal RNA". It matches the Rfam family "Bacterial small subunit ribosomal RNA", at positions 28 to 526 of the family's 1533-position model. The record is from RNAcentral.
GACGAACGCUGGCGGCGUGCUUAACACAUGCAAGUCGAACGAAGUGGCGAACGGGUGAGUAACGCGUAAUCAACCUGCCCUUCAGAGGGGGACAACAGUUGGAAACGACUGCUAAUACCGCAUACUGAAGGAGGGGAUUGCGUGUGAUUAGCUAGUUUGGGGGGUAACGGCCCACCAAGGCGAUGAUCAGUAGCCGGUCUGAGAGGGGGAACGACACCAUUGGGACUGCGACACGGCCCAGAAUCCUACGGGAGGCAGCAGGGGGGAAGCUUCCGAAAUGGAGGGAAGGCUGACGGAGCAACGCCGCGGGAGUGAUGAAGGCCUUCGGGUUGGAAAGCUCUGUUAAUCGGGACGCGGUACCGGAAGAGAAAGCCACGGCUAACUACGUGCCAGCAGCCGCGGUAAUAC